GCCUGCGUCUGUGAGGGGAAGGGCCUCCUGAGUGCAAGAGCUCCAGGCAAGAACGGACAUUUUGUGGUAUAAAGUGAGACCAGUGUUUGUAGUCCUUGACGUUGCAAUUAAUCCAAAAAGCUUGCGGGCAUAACUGGUUCCAGCUCCUGUUUGCUCUCUAACCAGCUUCUGUGAGCUAUGGAUAUUUCAGGACAGCAGAACAACUAAGAGGAGAAUACUUUCAGUGCAGCUGCAUACGACAGAGCAUAGAAAACGUGUCCUUGCCACCACAACUUUGUCAUACCAAUGCACCCUGACAAGAAGAAUGCUGUGUGUUCCUGAAGUUGGGCUGGCAGAGCUUCACUGAAGGAGAAACCGAGCGCUGACAGGCUGCAGAACAAGCAGAAGCCAUCAGGUGGCAGAGGAGACUAAACCAUGCAACAGCACA
Molecule: long non-coding RNA, 427 nt
Organism: Columba livia (rock pigeon)
Lineage: Eukaryota; Metazoa; Chordata; Aves; Columbiformes; Columbidae
Exons: 4
Source: RefSeq, a predicted model, not a curated record